This 1114-nucleotide long non-coding RNA is filed under the name Carassius auratus (goldfish). Its description in RNAcentral is "lncRNA (ENSCARG00000065138.1)". The record is from RNAcentral. Lineage: Eukaryota; Metazoa; Chordata; Actinopteri; Cypriniformes; Cyprinidae.
GCUGCUCCUCUCUGCUUUAUGGUUGCAACAUAUUGAGGCGGAUUAAAACAAACAAGCUACAAUCAGUAUUCAGUUCUGCGUAUGAAUACUGUAGAAAUAAGGCAUUUUUAUACAGUUGUACUCAUCCACUAAGGAUAUAUUUACGUUUUUCUCGGCUGAAUAUCUGUCAAAAGUUCAACGUCAACCCGCAAGCCAAGUAUAUCAAGGUGUUCUGAUUUAUGAUGCUUUGGGAUGGGAAGUGACAAUGCCAAAGGAAAUUCACGGUCUCAGAGGUUCCCGUCUGGUCAUACCAUGUUCUUUCAGCUACACAUCAGACCCGCCCAAAGACCCAAGUAGAGUUGUGUGGUAUCAGUGGGUCUCUAAAGAGAGAAUCAGGUGAAUGCAGUCUGCUGAUUACCACACUGGAACAGUCCCACCAUGGAGAGAAAAUAUAUGCAUGGAUUGACCCUAAAAAUGUUGGAUGGCGCACCUACGCAUUUUAUGAUGUCACGUCUACAAUUUUUGUCGAUAAAAAGUCACAGGAGCCCAGCAUCAGUAUUUAUGGAGGUGAAAAGAUGGGUGACGCCAUCACGGUAGAAUGUUCAACUUUCCACACGUGUCCAUACAGAAAACCAGCAAUCACUCUGAGCGGUGUAGAAGGAACUGAUCAAACAAAGGAUGAACAUAUUAAAAACGGCCUGUGGAAAAGAACUCUGACACGCACAGGUGUCUUAAAGGCAGAAAGCGUGACUAUUCAUUGUUCAGUAACACAUUAUGGUGGCAUAACAGUGACAACUGAAGAAGUCAAAAUGUCAAAAUGUGGACUCCCAUACUGAUGUAAGGCCCAUUUUAAGUGAAAUGGCUGAGAAAUAGCAAAGGCCCCUGGAUCGCUCAACACGUUCUAAACUGCCAUCAGGCAGUGAAGCCACCAGAAGUCACAGCUAAAACAAUGACCUCAAAUCACCAGAUGUGAAGCAAAUCAGUCAAAGGGGAUUAGUUUUUAUGUUAUGUGAAUGUGAAUUAAUGUUUACUUCAGAUGUUAUGUGCAGUGUUCACGGUCUUUUGGGGCAAGAUAAGCGAUAUAUUUAAACCGUUUAGGUGGAUGUCUGCAGCGCAAUGACGACACAUGUAACAA